This 1013-nucleotide long non-coding RNA is filed under the name Calidris pugnax (ruff). RNAcentral describes it as "lncRNA (ENSCPUG00000000028.1)". Lineage: Eukaryota; Metazoa; Chordata; Aves; Charadriiformes; Scolopacidae. The record is from RNAcentral.
AGACUCUUCGCUUCAUCAUGGGGAGCUCUAUGAUUUAAAAAGCAAUUGGAUGUGGUGUUUGCUUGGGGGGUGGGGUGAUGUGGUUUUUUUUGGGUGUGUGGUUUUUUGUGAUGCAGCUUUUUUAUUUACUGGCCUUCGUCUUGAUCCAUUGCUUGUAGGAGACGUGCUUUCCUUUACUGCCCUGGCAGUCACUGAGCUGCUGUUCUCAUCAAUAAGAAUCAGCUGAAGCUGGAUGUGACUGAAUUCUUAAAACAACCCAUCGUCGAUAUCUGGCUACAAACCAAAGAGUGGCAGACCUAGAAUAUGCUGAUAGGUGUAGAGUGAGGCCACGUGAGUCAUGAUGAAAUAUGCAGACAACAAACGUGUCUCUUAAGAGUGAGGUACUCUGAAAUGUCAAGGUUGUGUACAAGGGCUGUGAAACUACCUGUAGCUCAAAGUGAAAUCCCAGCAAACUGUCCUGCUAUUAUUUUUAAAAGCGCCGUUACCAUUGUGUGUCACUUGAGCAAUGGGAAGCCAGCAGAACACAGCCUGCAGGCAUCACAACGUGUGACACAGACACAGCCCCAGUUGCCACUGUCUUCCAACGUGUAUCAUCUUGGUGAUCUCUGAAGGUGCUGACAGGGGAAAUGGAGUGCGACGAGAGGACCGGCACAGCAAAGACUACUAGGUAGGGAAAGGCCUCUGAAAGCAUGUUGUGCACCAAAAAUGAUCCUUUGAUGGUAAAAUAGCCCCAAUCUUUUGCUUGCCACAGCGUGUGGUAUUAGGAGACUCUUGAUCUGAGCAUCUGAAAGAGAAGAUGCAGGAAAUACGGCUGAAAUGGUUUUCAUUGAUUUCAUAGUCUCUGCCUUCUCACCCACCUGUAAAAAAAAAAAAAGGCAUCUUUGUGAAAAUAGGAAGCAGUGGGUGAGACAUAAGUACAUUUCUGACAUUUAAGGGAGACUGCUCCUGUGCUCACAAUCCCACCAAGAUAAGCUGUUGGCAUUAAGAGUGUCAGAAAAAAAGUUGAGAGAGGA